This 254-nucleotide ribosomal RNA is filed under the name uncultured bacterium. Its description in RNAcentral is "partial 16S ribosomal RNA". It matches the Rfam family "Bacterial small subunit ribosomal RNA", at positions 524 to 776 of the family's 1533-position model. The record is from RNAcentral.
GACAGAGGGUGCUAGCGUUGUUCGGAAUUACUGGGCGUAAAGGGCGCGUAGGCGGCUCGUUUAGUCGGGUGUGAAAUCCCAAGGCUCAACCUUGGAACUGCAUUCGAUACUGGCGGGCUAGAGACCGGAAGAGGUGGGUGGAAUACCCAGUGUAGAGGUGAAAUUCGUAGAUAUUGGGUGGAACACCGGUGGCGAAGGCGGCUCACUGGUCCGGUUCUGACGCUGAGGCGCGGAAAGCGUGGGGAGCAAACAGG